UAUGGCGACCGGCGCACGGAUGAGUAACACGUAUCCAACCUGCCGAUGACUCGGGGAUAGCCUUUCGAAAGAAAGAUUAAUACCCGAUGGCAUAGUUCUUCCGCAUGGUGGAACUAUUAAAGAAUUUCGGUCAUCGAUGGGGAUGCGUUCCAUUAGGUUGUUGGCGGGGUAACGGCCCACCAAGCCUUCGAUGGAUAGGGGUUCUGAGAGGAAGGUCCCCCACAUUGGAACUGAGACACGGUCCAAACUCCUACGGGAGGCAGCAUG
RNAcentral lists this ribosomal RNA (267 nucleotides) under uncultured bacterium. RNAcentral's name for it is "partial 16S ribosomal RNA". It matches the Rfam family "Bacterial small subunit ribosomal RNA", at positions 87 to 353 of the family's 1533-position model. The record is from RNAcentral.